CGGCGGGUCCCGGCGGGUCCCGGCGGCUCAGGGGCUCGGUGCUUUUCCCCGCUCAGCUGGUGUGAGAUCGUGGGGAAAAGUCGAGCUCGGCGUGUGUGCCCCUGCCGCGAUCCCCGUUCCAACGCCGCGUGCACUGUUUGCUCUGUGUGACACAUCUCCCGAGCUUGUUGCCGUGCCCAGAUGCAGAGGUGUCUGCAAUACUUUAAAGCAUAGAGGUCACCCCUUGACUGCAGCACACUGACGUUGUCUUUGAGGAUUCUGUGUUCUCAUGGACCAGACAGCUGGGAAGCACACUGAAGUAAGCUGACUAACUCCUUCUGCCACCUGGGAUCUUGGUGCAGAAGACAGGUUAUAAAACAUUGAGUUACAAACCUUGCUGUGGAGGAGUGGAAAAUGGAAGCUAAUGGCAUUUACAUGCAGUCUCACAGCAAGAGGGUUGAGCCUGAUUGCUCUUCAGCCUUCACAUGCC
Vidua chalybeata is the source of this 469-nucleotide long non-coding RNA. RefSeq lists it as uncharacterized. NCBI's taxonomy places the organism in Eukaryota, Metazoa, Chordata, Aves, Passeriformes, Viduidae. The record is from RefSeq and is a predicted model, not a curated record. The transcript has 3 exons.